UACGUAGGGUGCAAGCGUUUGUCCGGAAUUAUUGGGCGUAAAGAGCUCGUAGGCGGUCUGUCGCGUCUGCUGUGAAAACUCGGGGCUUAACCCCGGGCCUGCAGUGGGUACGGGCAGACUAGAGUGCGGUAGGGGAGACUGGAAUUCCUGGUGUAGCGGUGAAAUGCGCAGAUAUCAGGAGGAACACCGAUGGCGAAGGCAGGUCUCUGGGCCACUACUGACGCUGAGAAGCGAAAGCAUGGGGAGCGAACAGG
Molecule: ribosomal RNA, 254 nt
Filed under: uncultured bacterium
Lineage: Bacteria
Description: partial 16S ribosomal RNA
Rfam family: Bacterial small subunit ribosomal RNA
Source: RNAcentral